UACGUAGGGUGCGAGCGUUAAUCGGAAUUACUGGGCGUAAAGCGUGCGCAGGCGGUUUUGCAAGCCGGAUGUGAAAUCCCCGGGCUCAACCUGGGAAUGGCAUUUGGGACUGCAAGGCUGGAGUGCGGCAGAGGAGACUGGAAUUCCUGGUGUAGCAGUGAAAUGCGUAGAUAUCAGGAGGAACACCGAUGGCGAAGGCAGGUCUCUGGGCUGACACUGACGCUCAUGCACGAAAGCGUGGGGAGCAAACAGG
This 253-nucleotide ribosomal RNA is filed under the name uncultured bacterium. RNAcentral describes it as "partial 16S ribosomal RNA". It matches the Rfam family "Bacterial small subunit ribosomal RNA", at positions 524 to 776 of the family's 1533-position model. The record is from RNAcentral.